UGGGGAAUUUUGGACAAUGGGCGAAAGCCUGAUCCAGCAAUGCCGCGUGUGUGAAGAAGGCCUUCGGGUUGUAAAGCACUUUUGUCCGGAAAGAAAUCCUUGGGCUCUAAUACAGUCGGGGGAUGACGGUACCGGAAGAAUAAGCACCGGCUAACUACGUGCCAGCAGCCGCGGUAAUACGUAGGGUGCAAGCGUUAAUCGGAAUUACUGGGCGUAAAGCGUGCGCAGGCGGUUUGCUAAGACCGAUGUGAAAUCCCCGGGCUCAACCUGGGAACUGCAUUGGUGACUGGCAGGCUAGAGUAUGGCAGAGGGGGGUAGAAUUCCACGUGUAGCAGUGAAAUGCGUAGAGAUGUGGAGGAAUACCGAUGGCGAAGGCAGCCCCUGGGCCAAUACUGACGCUCAUGCACGAAAGCGU
Molecule: ribosomal RNA, 415 nt
Filed under: uncultured bacterium
Lineage: Bacteria
Description: partial 16S ribosomal RNA
Rfam family: Bacterial small subunit ribosomal RNA
Source: RNAcentral